RNAcentral lists this ribosomal RNA (474 nucleotides) under uncultured bacterium. RNAcentral describes it as "partial 16S ribosomal RNA". It matches the Rfam family "Bacterial small subunit ribosomal RNA", at positions 28 to 507 of the family's 1533-position model. The record is from RNAcentral.
GAUGAACGCUAGCGGCAGGCCUAACACAUGCAAGUCGAGGGAGGAGCCUUCGGGCUUCGACCGGCGUACGGGUGCGUAACGCGUAUACAAUCUGCCUUUCACAUAGGGAUAGCCCGAAGAAAUUUGGAUUAAUACCUAAUGGUAUAUAGAUGCGGCAUCACCUUUAUAUUAAAGCUGAGGCGGUGAAAGAUGAGUAUGCGUUCUAUUAGCUAGUUGGAGAGGUAACGGCUCCCCAAGGCGACGAUAGAUAGGGGUUCUGAGAGGGAUAUCCCCCACACUGGUACUGAGAUACGGACCAGACUCCUACGGGAGGCAGCAGUGAGGAAUAUUGGACAAUGGUCGGAAGACUGAUCCAGCCAUGCCGCGUGCAGGAAGACGGCCUUAUGGGUUGUAAACUGCUUUUGCAGGGGAAGAAUAAGGACUACGCGUAGUUUGAUGACGGUACUCUGCGAAUAAGCAUCGGCUAACUCCGUG